Molecule: ribosomal RNA, 429 nt
Filed under: bacterium
Lineage: Bacteria
Description: partial 16S ribosomal RNA
Rfam family: Bacterial small subunit ribosomal RNA
Source: RNAcentral
UAGGGAAUCUUCCACAAUGGACGCAAGUCUGAUGGAGCAACGCCGCGUGAGUGAAGAAGGUUUUCGGAUCGUAAAGCUCUGUUGUUGGUGAAGAAGGAUAGAGGCAGUAACUGGUCUUUAUUUGACGGUAAUCAACCAGAAAGUCACGGCUAACUACGUGCCAGCAGCCGCGGUAAUACGUAGGUGGCAAGCGUUGUCCGGAUUUAUUGGGCGUAAAGCGAGCGCAGGCGGAAUGAUAAGUCUGAUGUGAAAGCCCACGGCUCAACCGUGGAACUGCAUCGGAAACUGUAAUUCUUGAGUGCAGAAGAGGAGAGUGGAAUUCCAUGUGUAGCGGUGGAAUGCGUAGAUAUAUGGAAGAACACCAGUGGCGAAGGCGGCUCUCUGGUCUGCAACUGACGCUGAGGCUCGAAAGCAUGGGUAGCGAACAGG